Molecule: transfer RNA, 68 nt
Filed under: Aeschrocoris ceylonicus
Lineage: Eukaryota; Metazoa; Arthropoda; Insecta; Hemiptera; Pentatomidae
Description: tRNA-Asn
Source: RNAcentral
UUAAUUGAAGCCAAAAUAGAGGCUUUUCAUUGUUAAUGAAAAAAUUGAUUUAAUUUAAUCCAAUUAAA